GACGAACGCUGGCGGCGUGCUUAACACAUGCAAGUCGAACGGAAAGGCCUGCUUUCCCUUGUGGAUUGCGGGUACUCGAGUGGCGAACGGGUGAGUAACACGUGAGUGAUCUGCCCCCAACUUGGGUAUAAGCCUGGGAAACUGGGUCUAAUUCCCGAUAGGACUGCAGGGUGGUGCCUGUGGUGGAAAACGAUUUUCUAGUGGUUGGGGAUGAGCUCGCGGCCUAUCAGCUUGUUGGUGGGGUAAUGGCCUACCAAGGCGGCGACGGGUAGCCGGCCUGAGAGGGUGGACGGCCACAUUGGGACUGAGAUACGGCCCAGACUCCGACGGGAGGCAGCAGUGGGGAAUAUUGCACAAUGUGCGGAAGCCUGAUGCAGCGACGCCGCGUGGGGGAUGACGGCCUUCGGGUUGUAAGCUCCUUUCGACCGCGAGGAAGCCACCUGGUUGGAAGGGUGGUGACGGUAGUGGUAGAAGAAGCACCGGCUAACUACGUG
This 494-nucleotide ribosomal RNA is filed under the name uncultured bacterium. RNAcentral describes it as "partial 16S ribosomal RNA". It matches the Rfam family "Bacterial small subunit ribosomal RNA", at positions 28 to 507 of the family's 1533-position model. The record is from RNAcentral.